RNAcentral lists this non-coding RNA (108 nucleotides) under Anaerobacillus arseniciselenatis. RNAcentral describes it as "TPP sequence". It matches the Rfam family "TPP riboswitch aptamer (THI element)". Rfam says of the family: Vitamin B(1) in its active form thiamin pyrophosphate (TPP) is an essential coenzyme that is synthesised by coupling of pyrimidine and thiazole moieties in bacteria. The previously detected thiamin-regulatory element, thi box was extended, resulting in a new, highly conserved RNA secondary structure, the THI element, which is widely distributed in eubacteria and also occurs in some archaea. Lineage: Bacteria; Bacillati; Bacillota; Bacilli; Caryophanales; Bacillaceae. The record is from Rfam by way of RNAcentral.
AUAAUAGACUAGGGGUGCCUCUAAUCCAAAGGCUGAGAAAAAGGAAAGACUUUUACCCUUGAACCUGAUCUGGGUGAAGCCAGCGUAGGAAAGUCGAUUAGUAAUUUA